This 454-nucleotide ribosomal RNA is filed under the name uncultured Solitalea sp. RNAcentral's name for it is "partial 16S ribosomal RNA". It matches the Rfam family "Bacterial small subunit ribosomal RNA", at positions 341 to 792 of the family's 1533-position model. The record is from RNAcentral. Lineage: Bacteria; Pseudomonadati; Bacteroidota; Sphingobacteriia; Sphingobacteriales; Sphingobacteriaceae.
ACGGAAGGCAGCAGUGAGGAAUAUUGGUCAAUGGACGAAAGUCUGAACCAGCCAUGCCGCGUGCAGGAAUAAGGCCCUAUGGGUCGUAAACUGCUUUUGUGGUGGAGCAAUAAGUCGUACGUGUACGGCGAUGAGAGUACAUCACGAAUAAGCAUCGGCUAACUCCGUGCCAGCAGCCGCGGUAAUACGGAGGAUGCAAGCGUUAUCCGGAUUUAUUGGGUUUAAAGGGUGCGUAGGCGGCACGUUAAGUCAGCGGUGAAAUGUCGGGGCUCAACCCGGGCACUGCCGUUGAAAUUGGCGAGCUUGAGUACGGAUGAAGUUGGCGGAAUGUGAUGUGUAGCGGUGAAAUGCUUAGAUAUGUCACAGAACACCGAUUGCGAAGGCAGCUGACUAAUCCGCAACUGACGCUCAGGCACGAAAGCGUGGGGAUCGAACAGGAUUAGAUACCCUGGUA